UAUAGCUUGAAGCUUUGGACAGCAUUAACAAACAUCUCAAAUUUGAUACAAAUAUCCAUACCUCUUUCAUCUGGAUAUCAGACCUUGGAAAAUGAUUCAUAAACUAGGAGGAAUGUUUUUGUUAGUGUGUUUAUUUGUCGUUGCUGUACAUGUGAACAGCGAAGAAGGGCCCUGUUACAAAUGUACAGAAAUAUUCAGGGGCUGUCAUGCUUACUACAAAUGUGAAGGACAUCCGUUUGAGGACAGAUGCCGGAAAUUUUGUAAUGAUCAGUUUACCAGAUGUAUGGACUCUUGUAAGGCAAACCUUACACCGUUGAAAUAGCAAUUCUAAAUGUUAUCAUUCUGUAGUGAAAGGUACAGAAAUAUGUAUAUUCAUUGCCUAAAAUACGUAUCUUUUUUCCUCUUAAAUAACAUAAAUUAUAUUAAUAAAUAUGUUAUACUAUAAGAUAGUCAUUGCCUAAAAGAUGUUUAUCUUUUGCUGCUAAAACACCAUAAAUUAUGCUAAUAAAUCUGAUAUACAACAGUUACUAAA
This is a long non-coding RNA of Saccostrea cuccullata (small rock oyster), 532 nucleotides long. RefSeq lists it as uncharacterized. The record is from RefSeq and is a predicted model, not a curated record. NCBI's taxonomy places the organism in Eukaryota, Metazoa, Mollusca, Bivalvia, Ostreida, Ostreidae. The transcript is spliced from 2 exons.